This is a transfer RNA of Camelus ferus (Wild Bactrian camel), 72 nucleotides long. It matches the Rfam family "tRNA". Rfam says of the family: Transfer RNA (tRNA) molecules are approximately 80 nucleotides in length. Their secondary structure includes four short double-helical elements and three loops (D, anti-codon, and T loops). The record is from Rfam. NCBI's taxonomy places the organism in Eukaryota, Metazoa, Chordata, Mammalia, Artiodactyla, Camelidae.
GAGGGUAUAGCUCAGUGGUAGAGUGUAUGCUUAGCAUGCACAAGGUCCUGGGUUCAAUGGCCAGUACCUCCA